This 66-nucleotide non-coding RNA is filed under the name Granulicella mallensis MP5ACTX8. RNAcentral's name for it is "Acidobacterium sp. MP5ACTX8 Fluoride riboswitch aptamer (crcB RNA motif)". It matches the Rfam family "Fluoride riboswitch aptamer (crcB RNA motif)". Lineage: Bacteria; Pseudomonadati; Acidobacteriota; Terriglobia; Terriglobales; Acidobacteriaceae. RNAcentral also lists the same sequence under 1 other name. The record is from Rfam by way of RNAcentral.
AGCAUUCAUGGCGAUGGGGUUCGCCUGCCGCUCCGCACGCGCGUAGCUGAUGACUCCUACAUCUCG